Molecule: ribosomal RNA, 539 nt
Filed under: uncultured bacterium
Lineage: Bacteria
Description: bacterial SSU rRNA
Rfam family: Bacterial small subunit ribosomal RNA
Source: RNAcentral
CGAUUCGGAUGGGCGCAGCCUGACCGAGCAACNCCGCGUGCGGNAUGACGGCCUUCGGGUUUCCACCGCUUUNCNGGGGGACGAUGAUGACGGUACCCUCGGAAUAAGCCCCGGCUAANUCNNUGCCAGCAGCCGCGGUAAGACAGAGGGGGCCAGCGUUGUCCGGAGUUACUGGGCGUAAAGCGCACGCAGGCGGCGGCUUAAGUGUCGUGUGAAAGCUCCCGGCUCAACCGGGAGAGGCCAUGGCAGACUGGGUCGCUGGAGCGCCGGAGAGGUCUCUCGAAUUGCCGGUGUAGUGGUGAAAUGCGUAGAGAUCGGCAGGAAGACCAAGGGGGAAGCCAGGAGACUGGCCGGCAGCUGACGCUGAGGUGCGACGGCGUGGGGAGCAAACCGGAUUAGAUACCCGGGUAGUCCACGCGGUAAACGAUGACCACUCGGCAUAUGGGGGCUUUAUACGUCCCUGGGUGCCCCAGCUAACGCGGUAAGUGGUCCGCCUGGGAACUACGAGCGCAAGCUUAAAACUCAAAAAAAUUGACGGA